AAGACUAUAGACCUGCGGAGUACCUGCGGAGGGAUCAUUAUCAAUUUACAGCGGACUUCGGUCCUGUCUGCACCCUUGUCUUUUGCGUACUAUAUGUUUCCUCGGUGGGCUUGCCUGCCGAUAGGACACUUAUAAACUCUUUUGUAAUUGCAAUCAGCGUCAGAAAACUAUAAUAGUUACAACUUUUAACAACGGAUCUCU
Molecule: unclassified non-coding RNA, 201 nt
Filed under: soil metagenome
Description: partial contains 5.8S ribosomal RNA, internal transcribed spacer 2, and large subunit ribosomal RNA
Source: RNAcentral